This 253-nucleotide ribosomal RNA is filed under the name uncultured bacterium. RNAcentral's name for it is "partial 16S ribosomal RNA". It matches the Rfam family "Bacterial small subunit ribosomal RNA", at positions 524 to 776 of the family's 1533-position model. The record is from RNAcentral.
GACGUAGGGCGCGAGCGUUGUCCGGAUUUAUUGGGCGUAAAGCGCACGUAGGCGGCAUUGCAAGUCGGAUGUGAAAUCCCUCGGCUUAACCAAGGAAGUGCAUCCGAAACUGCAGUGCUUGAGUACUUAAGAGGAUCGCGGAAUUCCCGGUGUAGAGGUGAAAUUCGUAGAUAUCGGGAGGAACACCAGUGGCGAAGGCGGCGAUCUGGGAAGAUACUGACGCUGAGGUGCGAAAGCGUGGGGAGCAAACAGG